RNAcentral lists this long non-coding RNA (415 nucleotides) under Androctonus crassicauda. Lineage: Eukaryota; Metazoa; Arthropoda; Arachnida; Scorpiones; Buthidae. The record is from RNAcentral.
GAAAUAAAAUAAUCACAGAUAGAAAAAUGGGUACUACUGGAGAAAGGAUCCCCGCGGAAUUUCGGCGCCCCUUUUAUCUUAUAACCCUAGUUAAGGGCUUCUGCGUUCAGUGGUGGAGGUCCCAUGCGUGGGAGGUGCCCCGUUCUCAGGUUGUGGGGCCCCGGAGUUGGGGUUCGGAGUCACGUUUUUUGCGAUUUUCUGCGGAACUUUUAGAGAUGGUCGGAUGCUUUGAACGGUUCUAGACUUGUAUUGUGAUUCCGAAUCGAGUGCAAUCAGUUUGAAUAGGCUGCGACUUGCCUUUGCGAUGUAACGUGGUUUUUUCCACAUGCGGCGAUUUGUCUGUUCCGAGGCUUGGCGGGGUUCCUGUUUAUCAUUUUUUUGUUUUGUUUUGUAUGCAAAACAUCUUAUUAAUUGU